RNAcentral lists this unclassified non-coding RNA (334 nucleotides) under Hevea brasiliensis (rubber tree). The record is from RNAcentral. Lineage: Eukaryota; Viridiplantae; Streptophyta; Magnoliopsida; Malpighiales; Euphorbiaceae.
CUGCCUGCAAAAUCUUAGGGCAACCUGCUAUGGGGCAUUUUGGUUGUCCUCUUUCGGAUGCUAUGUAAAGCAUGAUUGCCUUCUUCUCGUAAAUAUGCUUGCAUAGCACACUGCGAACUGGCUCUGCUAAUUCAGUAACAGGCUUUCCACUUAAUGGGCAAAUGAUAUUCAAAAGGCUAGAUUGGGUACUUGUCAUUACAAUGUCCUCUUGCUCUUCUCCUGGCAUUGGCUGCCCUAAAUGGUGAACAUUCCAGACAGCUCCUCUAAAUUUACGUAUCAGUUGAUGAUUUUGUGAAGAAGAAGAUGAACUAGACCAAAGCUUCUCAAAUUCAUC